This 507-nucleotide long non-coding RNA is filed under the name Oryza brachyantha (malo sina). RNAcentral describes it as "long non-coding RNA (OBRA_LNC003302)". Lineage: Eukaryota; Viridiplantae; Streptophyta; Magnoliopsida; Poales; Poaceae. The record is from RNAcentral.
CAGAGGACCAAGCGGUGCUCGGUUGGUUAGCCUGCGGGCGUGCGAGCUAACCCGCGCGAGUUCAAUCCUCAGAUCGCGCGUACGUGUGCAAAAAAAGAAGAGUACGUCGCUGCAUCGUGUGUAGAAUGGCCCUGCCUCGCCGGGUCAGCCGGACGCCUCUCGGGCGACUGCAUCGUGUAGAAUGGCCCUGCCUCGCCGGGUUAGCCGGACGCCUCUCGCUCGCCCGAGAGAAGAAUAAGAUAGACAGAGAGAGAAAUAACUCACGUCCAAAAAUAGUUACUGCUCUAUGAUUAUAUUUGCUACUCAUAAAUUAAGCUUUAUAAAGAAAAAGAUUAGAUAUUUACCAGUGCACUUCUAGCUAGCUUGAUUAUUACUAUGAUCGGGUUGCACGUGUUUUCUGGGCUUUUGAACGGCUCGACAUAGUUAAAUUUAUUUAUUUGUAUCAUCAAGUAAUUAAACAACUUAUUCAACGCUAUUCAUCCGUUCAGCGUAAAAGAGAAAGAGAAG